RNAcentral lists this ribosomal RNA (225 nucleotides) under Vibrio parahaemolyticus. Its description in RNAcentral is "partial 23S ribosomal RNA". It matches the Rfam family "Bacterial large subunit ribosomal RNA", at positions 1123 to 1348 of the family's 2925-position model. The record is from RNAcentral. Lineage: Bacteria; Pseudomonadati; Pseudomonadota; Gammaproteobacteria; Vibrionales; Vibrionaceae.
UUAAAGAAAGCGUAAUAGCUCACUGGUCGAGUCGGCCUGCGCGGAAGAUGUAACGGGGCUAAGUAGUAAACCGAAGCUGCGGCAAUGUGCUUUUGCACAUUGGGUAGGGGAGCGUUCUGUAAGCGGUUGAAGGUGUGUGGUAACGCAUGCUGGACGUAUCAGAAGUGCGAAUGCUGACAUGAGUAACGAUAAAGGGGGUGAAAAACCUCCUCGCCGGAAGACCAA